This is a long non-coding RNA of Phoenix dactylifera (date palm), 2719 nucleotides long. RefSeq lists it as uncharacterized. The record is from RefSeq and is a predicted model, not a curated record. NCBI's taxonomy places the organism in Eukaryota, Viridiplantae, Streptophyta, Magnoliopsida, Arecales, Arecaceae.
CCGAAAAUCGACAUCAUUGUGGCUAGGAGAUGACCUUGAGCCAUCAGUUUGAGUCGGGCCCUAGAUUGGGUCCAUUUGAGCCUAUGUUAUUUCUAUUCUAUUUCAUUAUUGGUUGCUUUUGUUUGAGUUGAUUUGGUUGUGCUUUUGUUAUUAUUUGAGUUGAUUUGAUUGUUGAGUCAAGUGAUUAAAUCAAUUGAUCAAUGUAAGACCUAAAUUAUAAAGGUCCAAUGUUGGAUGUGAUCAAUUGGUUUUAUGGUCUAAUGUUAGUAGGGUUAAUUGAUUUGAUGUAUGGCCCAAUGUGUUAGGGCUCAAUUAUUGUUUUGUUGGUCAAUUAUUUGACUUGAUGUAAAGCCUAUAUAAAGGCCAAUCCCUCGUGAAUUAGGAAAUUGAUGAUUGAAUGAAAACUCCUUUCUCUUUGGCUGCCACCUCCUCUCUUCUCUUCUCCCUUCUCCAUGUCGUGCGUGGCUUUUCUUCUCCCUUCUCCAUCUCUUCACGCUGUGUGGUGAUCCCCUCUUUCUUCUCUUCUCCCACGCCUCUUAACCUUCUUUCCUAUUUUGGUGUCUUCCUACUCCAACAAGGAAUCAAAUUUUUCUGCAUCGAAGGCGUCCCAUCAACAAGCAAUCCUAAUCCAAAUAGGAAUAGAAUCUUCCUCCAAGUGCCUCCAACUCCAAAGAGGUUUUCCUUGACCAACAAGGACUUUCAUUCUCCCACACGCCUUCCCCCCUGGUUUCGUCCUGUGAACCAUCUAAGAAGGACCCUUUGAUCAGCAAGGAAUUCCUCAUGCCACUGCAUCAUGCCAACCCAAUCCACUUCAAACUAGGAGUCCUAGUCUCCAAAGAAUUCCUCCUUCAUCCGCCCGCACAUGAUCUUUUCUUCCUUUAGAUCUGAGCCUUCCAUCUUCAGAUCUAACAUCAGCUCGCGCAUCAGCAGCAUCCCCUCCUCCGCGGGUCAUCAGCCAGCCAUCCAUCAUCUCACUGCAACCUUCAUCUUUGUCAUCGCUUGGGGAUCCACCAACGAAGGGUUCUGAAUCUCUUCUUCCCUACAGGCAAGGUUCCUCCUUCUGAAUUUGCUCACUGAUUUAUGUUCUAAGUUCUCUUGCAUGAAAUUUAUACCGUUGAAAACUUUGCUGCUAAAAUCUCAAAACUUAGAUUUAUUCAUUUCCACCCAUCCUACCAACCCUUUUAAAAUCUUUGUUAUUAAAUUAGCACACCCUAGCAACGGAAAGUUUCUCAACAUCCCACGAUCAGAUUACUUUUGGAUCAGAACAACCAUAAUACUCGUUUGUAACCUAAUCUCUUAAAUUGAUUAAUCUCAUACCUUAACUCCGAAUAACUGAAGUAAAAAUCAGCAACCAUUAAAUUUUAAGUUACUCUUGUGAACGCUUGCUGAUCUCUGAAAUCAUAGUAGGUUGCAUUGGUAGGUUGUCCUGCAUCAUAUCAAUGUAUUAUGAUAUAAUGUGAUAUAUAAUUAUAUUUAUAGUAUAAUACAAUAAUAAAAAUAUAAAAUAAUAUAAUUAUUAGCAUACAUUAUAUUUUCAUAAUACAACAAAUUUUCUAGCUAGGUGAUAAAAUUGGUUAAAUAAUUAUUAAAGAGACAUUUUGUGUAAUUAUUAUAUUUUAUCAUGGAUAUUUUGGUAAAGAAAAAAGCUUUCCAACCGAGCCUAAAAGUGUUUUGCCAGAAAUCUUCAAAAUAAAGCUUUUUCCAAAAGGCUAUUUUUAGCUUUCUAGAAAAACUAAAACAGCUUACCAAAAUUUUUACCUAACACUCAUAUUUUAUUGGAGGGCCCAAAAGCUCCCCAAACGGGGCCUAGCACCUGGGAUGUACAUAAAGGCAUAUACAUUAAAAAUCUGCAAAUUAUAAAUGAUUAUGAUCUAUUGAUCAUUUUCAUUAUCACUGAAAUUUGAUUUUAUAAAAAAGAUAAAUUUAAAUCUGUUGAGUUUUUCAAAAUAGUAAGAAUCUGUAUGAUAAAAAAAUAAUUUAUUUUUGAAAGGUAGAAGAAAAAAAGAAUUUGAUGGUUCAUUUUAAACCUGGGUUUUAUAUUAUGGAGUCUAACAUCAGCAUGGCCUGUCCUUUUUUGUGGGUCAUAUUAUGGAGUCUGUUGAGAUUUUCAAAGUAGUUAAAAUAUGUAUUAUAAAAAAAAAUUUAAUUUAUUUUUGAAAGCUAGUAUGCUUUUUUUUUUUCCUUAAGAACUUUUCUAAUUUGUGGGUCGUAAGCAACAAAAAUUCAUGGGCUUUUUUUUUCUUUAAGAAAUAAGUAAGGAACUAGAUGAUAUUGUUAAUCAGAACCAACUUAAGAACCGUAAAAUUGUUGAGAAAUGGACAAGUAGAAGAAACUUCAUUUGGAUCAUUCCGAUUGAUGAUCAGUUCAGGAAUACAUAACGUUCAUGGUUGGUAGAAUUUAUCAGAGGAACAUGCUAUGUGGGAUAGAGAGCUACAAGAAGCACCAUGUAUAGAGAGACAUGAUAAUGGAUUCCUGGUAAUGUAUUACUUGUGGUGAAAAGAUGCAAUAGAACUUUCAGUCUCCUGCCUUCUCUUCAACCGAAGAAUCAAACAAUGCAGAGGCUGGAACUGCUUUGGUGGUAGACUCUACUUUUCUGCUCUUCGAGGCCUCAAUUUGAUCUGCAAGUGAAUUUUUUCUUUGCAUUCUUUUCAUCUUGAUAUGUUUUAUAUCCCAUUUCUCAAUGAGUUGCUGAGGCUCAACUGUCUUCUUGCUUCGAAGA